UCCUACGGGAGGCAGCAGUAGGGAAUAUUGGUCAAUGGACGCAAGUCUGAACCAGCCAUGCCGCGUGCAGGAAGACGGCCCUCUGGGUUGUAAACUGCUUUUAUAUAGGAAGAAACCCCUGAAUGCGUUCGGGGCUGACGGUACUAUAUGAAUAAGGAUCGGCUAACUUCGUGCCAGCAGCCGCGGUAAGACGAAGGAUCCAAGCGUUGUCCGGAUUUACUGGGUUUAAAGGGUGCGUAGGCGGAUAUUUAAGUCAGUGGUGAAAUCCCAUAGCUCAACUAUGGAACUGCCAUUGAAACUGGAUAUCUUGAAUACGGUUGAGGUAGAUGGAAUAUAACAUGUAGCGGUGAAAUGCUUAGAUAUGUUAUAGAACACCGAUUGCGAAGGCAGUCUACUAAGCCGUGAUUGACGCUGAGGCACGAAAGCGUGGGGAGCGAACAGGAUUAGAUACCCUGGUAGUCCACGCCCUAAACGUUGAUUACUCGCUGUUGGCGAUAUACUGUCAGCGGCUAAGCGAAAGCGUUAAGUAAUCCACCUGGGAAGUACGACCGCAAGGUUGAAACUCA
Molecule: ribosomal RNA, 566 nt
Filed under: uncultured bacterium
Lineage: Bacteria
Description: bacterial SSU rRNA
Rfam family: Bacterial small subunit ribosomal RNA
Source: RNAcentral